ACAAUCACCUCUGUCUGAUUCAAAGUGAUUAUAAAAGUCAGGCACAGCACACAAACGACCGACAGAAACUAACUUCUACUGCUCGUGAAGGGUUCCUGGUCUAACCAUGUAAACAACAAAUCAUCAGCUGCGAAGCAGCAGAGGUGACAUAUGACACUCCUAUUAUACACUCAAAAUAUUAAGAGGCGAAUUCUCAAAAAGAAGCAGGUGCCAGAAUGGCCAAAGACGUCAAAAAUAAGCCUCAGAGUCUAUGUCUCCCUUCGGGACCUCCGGCGUGGCGCUGCGGUCUCUUCCUUCUCGUCCUCUUUCUCCUCCUUGUCACCACUGCUUCCAGCACCAUCAGUCUCAGUCGCCUUGGGCUUCUUCGCCUCAGCUGCAGGUUUCACAGGAGCCUGCAACAAGCAAAUGUUGUGGGUUGGGCGUUCUCUUCAAGUCUAGGAUGACGAGGGGAGUAAAACAAUCGUUGGGAAGAACUUACCACAGGCUUCUUGCCACCGAACAGGAUCCUGAAGAGCACGGUCACAAAGACAACAACAACCGAGACCAAAAUGCCAAUAGUGAUGUUGGGCUGCUUCUCUCCCUUCUCGAUCACAUCCUGUGUGCAAGAUAUUGAGAGAAGAUGUCACUUUCUAGGUGUGACAUUCAGAUGUUUGACAAGAUAGGUUAGCAAAGAUUUCCAGAACUCACAAUGAUCUUGGUCUUGUAGGGUGCCAAGAAUGGAACAUCAGCAAUCUUGUACAGGAUGUCAAAAACCUUCUUCUGCAAUGCAGAUGGCAAAACAAGUUAGUUAUAAAAUGGAAGUAUGGUCCAGUAAAGAAAUUAACAGUAAUGGCUGUAAUAAAAAGAUAAGAAAAUGAAUUACCUGGAACUCAGAAAGACCAUCUGCACCAGCAGCAGCCUCCUCAGCCUUCUCCUUUUCCUUCUCAACUUCAUAUUUGGGCUUCCAGGUCUUCUCUAGGAUGGAGGUGGCAACCUUCUCAUCAUCAGCAAUCAAAAUAUUGUCAAACAGGAUGCCAUCCUGCAUCGUCCAGAUCUCAAUUCCAAUAGCAGCAAUUGGAUCAAAGUCAGGCUUGUCGAGCUCAAAGUACUCAGGGUUGGGGAUCUCCUGAGGCUUCCAGAUUCCCUUGUAGUUGGGAUUGUCAAUCAGGGGUGCAUGCCACUUGCCCUUGUAAGCAGGGUUCUGCUUCAUUGGCCUCUUCCACUCGCCACACCCAGGUGCCACUUCGCACUUGGGGUUGUCAAUCUUUGGUGCCUCCCAUUCACCAUCCUCCUCAUCAUCCCAGUCCUCAGGCUUGGCUGCCUCUGGAUCAUCAAUUUCCUCAGGCUCAUCAUCCAGCCAUCCCUCAGGCUUGGUGGCUUCCUCAUCCUCAAUUUCCAUUGGAGCAUCCUCAUCCCAGUCAUCAGGCUUCACUGCAUCUGGAUCAGGAAUUUUAGCUCUCUCAUCCCAGUCCUCUGGCUUCUUGUCAUCAGGGUCAGGAAUGGUCUUGGGUGGGAUAAUAGCUGGCUCAAAAUCAUCAGCAGACAGGAAGUUUGCCUUCUUCUUUUCCUCCCCGUCGAUCAAAAUUCUCACCUCAUUGUCUGGCUUCAAGAUAGCCGUGUAGACAUGAGAGAGCUUGUCAUAUGGGACAGAAGGUGGGAACUUGAGGUGAUGCUCGACAUACUUUCCAGUCUUGGGGUUCUUGUGCUUAAGGAUGAAAUGCACCUUGUUGGUUGACCCACACUUGUCUGGGCCAAACAUAAUAGUGUAUGGAGUCUCAUUAUCAAACUCCUUGGCAUCCCAUCCAGCAUCCUGAGGGCGGAUGUACUUAAUAUAGGCACCUCCACACUCAAGGCCAUUCUGGAGCCUCACUUCAAACUGCAGGACUACUGUCCCAUCCUUCAAAGUAACUGGCUCAUCAAGCUCCUUGAUUAUGGCAUAUUUCCUAGCCUUCUCACUAACAAGGAGACCAUAGUCCUCAUGCCCAUCACUCUUGGCAUGCUUCCAUACACCUGCAAACCAGAGUAUGUCUCUUAAUCGAUGACAGUGGUACAAAGAAAAAAUGAACAAAUAGAAAGUUAUGACUAGUGGCAACAAUGUUCAACACUAGCAGAGCAAAAUACCAAAAUCUAACAGGCGCCUAGUCCAAAUAAGUAUUACAAGGUUACUCCGUAUGAAGAAUAUUACAGG
RNAcentral lists this long non-coding RNA (2167 nucleotides) under Setaria viridis. RNAcentral's name for it is "long non-coding RNA (SVIR_LNC008276)". The record is from RNAcentral. Lineage: Eukaryota; Viridiplantae; Streptophyta; Magnoliopsida; Poales; Poaceae.